Molecule: long non-coding RNA, 1318 nt
Organism: Brachypodium distachyon (stiff brome)
Lineage: Eukaryota; Viridiplantae; Streptophyta; Magnoliopsida; Poales; Poaceae
Exons: 2
Source: RefSeq, a predicted model, not a curated record
GAGAAAAACGUUCGGAUUCGGGUUUUCCCCUGUCGCAUGGAAAGUGCAGCGCUCCAUCUCCCCUACCAAACCACCACGGCCGGCCCUCUCCGUGCUGCAGGCCGCCGCCAUCCCUUCUGUACUCCGGCGGCUGCUCCUAUCGUGAGAAACCUUUCUUCAUGCCCUCAGCGCUGAUGUCGCAGCAGACCCUUCUUGAGCAAAGGAGCACCUCAGCGGUGAGGCAAGCGGCGGCAAGGCGGUACCCCUUCUGACCUUCUCCCCUUGCUCUCAGGGUCGACUCCAUGGCAGAUGCGUCCGGCAACAAGGAGCGCCUCGGGUAUGACACUAACGUGAUAAGACGGUGAGCGAUCUCUCCCCAUUUCUUUCUGUCAGCUUUUGCUUGAGACCGUGCAGCUUCCCAGCGGUGCCUCGCCUCUUCUCCGAAUUGGGCAGUAGUGCGCAGCUGCUGCACCUUCCUAUCCAGAUACCCCGUUGCAGCAAACCUGCGUGUUGCUAGUGAUUACUCCCUCGGGCCCAUUUUUUUAGCGUUUUUUGAGCAUAGAUACCUUCAUAUUUGGGCAAAAAUUUGAGUCACUUGAUAUGGGACGGAGGGAGUAUAUUUUUGUUAGGAUCACUGAGCAAGCAGGGAAGCGGAAAUCUCCCAGGUCCAUUUUUAUGUUCUUGGUGUGCAGUUAUAUAUUUGACUCAUCGCUUCUCUUUACGACUUGAAAUAUUAGCGCUUCACAAAACCUGGAUAUAAUUAGUUGUGCAUUUUUUUUCCGACAUGGUGCUGCAUCUGCAUCCUCUACUUGUAAUCAUUUAUUAAUAUGAUAUUUCACAGUUUCACAAGUUCAAACGAAGGUUAUUUUUCUUGACGGUUGCGCCAAAGGAUUAUCCUGAGUGUAUUAAGAACUGAUAGAUAAAAUUGGGAAACCGGGAUGCAAACUGCAAAACUAUACUUGUGCAGGUACAUUUGAGUAUUCGCAUAUCCCAUUUUUUUUCUUACACAAUGUUUGCAUACCAUCAGCUUCAGAUUUCUUCUUAGCUUCUGAUAUGCAAAUUUGAUCCCCAGUAUCAGAUUGGCUUGCCUUUCUUAACAGAUACUCCCUCCGAUAAAUAAAUUACGACUAAUAUGUUUUGAACUAAAACAACAAUAAGAAUUUAGUGAGAAUUUAAGAUCGGAGGGAGUAUCUGCGUGUUGUUACUACCUAUGUCGCCGGUGUGGAAGGUGCAAUAUCCCAACCCUAUAGUUGAUGAUCAGUGGAGAUAUGCAACAGACAACACAUGUUUUAUUAGGUUUCUGAGUAACAUCUGCUUAAUAAAUGCUCACUUCAUUUCA